This is a long non-coding RNA of Mycetomoellerius zeteki, 333 nucleotides long. RefSeq lists it as uncharacterized. The record is from RefSeq and is a predicted model, not a curated record. The transcript has 2 exons. NCBI's taxonomy places the organism in Eukaryota, Metazoa, Arthropoda, Insecta, Hymenoptera, Formicidae.
CAAUCGAAUCAAAUCAAGCCAAAUCGAGCAUUGCUUCAUGCAAGUUUCAGUUUUCGAAAAGAUGCCACCGGCAAAGCAUGUAGUUGCUGCAGGAGGACGUUGUUCUAGGAUGCAAAUCAGGAAGGACAGGGACAAAACAUAGAUUUCCAAAAGAUCUUGCAAAAUGUGAAGCUUGGAAACGAAUUAUUUGUAACAAUGCUUUAACCCUUUGAAGCAUACAUUUUUCUUUACAUUGAAUUUAGCUGAAAUUUGUCACUCGGGGGUUUUUGGGGUCGCUGAUUACGAAUCUGACCUUACAUUUUCAAAAUUCAAAAUGGCGGAUCCAAUAUGGCG